UCUCCUGGAAAAGGGUGGUAAUGCCGGAUGCUCCAGUUGAUCGCAUGGUCUUCUGGGAAAGCUUUCGCGGUAUGGGAUGGGGUCGCGUCCUAUCAGCUUGACGGCGGGGUAACGGCCCACCGUGGCUUCGACGGGUAGCCGGCCUGAGAGGGCGACCGGCCACAUUGGGACUGAGAUACGGCCCAGACUCCUACGGGAGGCAGCAGUGGGGAAUAUUGCACAAUGGGCGCAAGCCUGAUGCAGCGACGCCGCGUGAGGGAUGGAGGCCUUCGGGUUGUAAACCUCUUUUAUCGGGGAGCAAGCGAGAGUGAGUUUACCCGUUGAAUAAGCACCGGCUAACUACGUGCCAGCAGCCGCGGUAAUACGUAGGGUGCAAGCGUUAUCCGGAAUUAUUGGGCGUAAAGGGCUCGUAGGCGGUUCGUCGCGUCCGGUGUGAAAGUCCAUCGCUUAACGGUGGAUCCGCGCCGGGUACGGGCGGGCUUGAGUGCGGUAGGGGAGACUGGAAUUCCCGGUGUAACGGUGGAAUGUGUAGAUAUCGGGAAAGAACACCA
This 551-nucleotide ribosomal RNA is filed under the name Bifidobacterium longum subsp. infantis. Its description in RNAcentral is "bacterial SSU rRNA". It matches the Rfam family "Bacterial small subunit ribosomal RNA", at positions 146 to 711 of the family's 1533-position model. Lineage: Bacteria; Bacillati; Actinomycetota; Actinomycetes; Bifidobacteriales; Bifidobacteriaceae. RNAcentral also lists the same sequence under 1 other name. The record is from RNAcentral.